Molecule: ribosomal RNA, 2901 nt
Filed under: Escherichia coli
Lineage: Bacteria; Pseudomonadati; Pseudomonadota; Gammaproteobacteria; Enterobacterales; Enterobacteriaceae
Description: 23S ribosomal RNA
Rfam family: Bacterial large subunit ribosomal RNA
Source: RNAcentral
UUAAGCGACUAAGCGUACACGGUGGAUGCCCUGGCAGUCAGAGGCGAUGAAGGACGUGCUAAUCUGCGAUAAGCGUCGGUAAGGUGAUAUGAACCGUUAUAACCGGCGAUUUCCGAAUGGGGAAACCCAGUGUGUUUCGACACACUAUCAUUAACUGAAUCCAUAGGUUAAUGAGGCGAACCGGGGGAACUGAAACAUCUAAGUACCCCGAGGAAAAGAAAUCAACCGAGAUUCCCCCAGUAGCGGCGAGCGAACGGGGAGCAGCCCAGAGCCUGAAUCAGUGUGUGUGUUAGUGGAAGCGUCUGGAAAGGCGCGCGAUACAGGGUGACAGCCCCGUACACAAAAAUGCACAUGCUGUGAGCUCGAUGAGUAGGGCGGGACACGUGGUAUCCUGUCUGAAUAUGGGGGGACCAUCCUCCAAGGCUAAAUACUCCUGACUGACCGAUAGUGAACCAGUACCGUGAGGGAAAGGCGAAAAGAACCCCGGCGAGGGGAGUGAAAAAGAACCUGAAACCGUGUACGUACAAGCAGUGGGAGCACGCUUAGGCGUGUGACUGCGUACCUUUUGUAUAAUGGGUCAGCGACUUAUAUUCUGUAGCAAGGUUAACCGAAUAGGGGAGCCGAAGGGAAACCGAGUCUUAACUGGGCGUUAAGUUGCAGGGUAUAGACCCGAAACCCGGUGAUCUAGCCAUGGGCAGGUUGAAGGUUGGGUAACACUAACUGGAGGACCGAACCGACUAAUGUUGAAAAAUUAGCGGAUGACUUGUGGCUGGGGGUGAAAGGCCAAUCAAACCGGGAGAUAGCUGGUUCUCCCCGAAAGCUAUUUAGGUAGCGCCUCGUGAAUUCAUCUCCGGGGGUAGAGCACUGUUUCGGCAAGGGGGUCAUCCCGACUUACCAACCCGAUGCAAACUGCGAAUACCGGAGAAUGUUAUCACGGGAGACACACGGCGGGUGCUAACGUCCGUCGUGAAGAGGGAAACAACCCAGACCGCCAGCUAAGGUCCCAAAGUCAUGGUUAAGUGGGAAACGAUGUGGGAAGGCCCAGACAGCCAGGAUGUUGGCUUAGAAGCAGCCAUCAUUUAAAGAAAGCGUAAUAGCUCACUGGUCGAGUCGGCCUGCGCGGAAGAUGUAACGGGGCUAAACCAUGCACCGAAGCUGCGGCAGCGACACUAUGUGUUGUUGGGUAGGGGAGCGUUCUGUAAGCCUGUGAAGGUGUACUGUGAGGUAUGCUGGAGGUAUCAGAAGUGCGAAUGCUGACAUAAGUAACGAUAAAGCGGGUGAAAAGCCCGCUCGCCGGAAGACCAAGGGUUCCUGUCCAACGUUAAUCGGGGCAGGGUGAGUCGACCCCUAAGGCGAGGCCGAAAGGCGUAGUCGAUGGGAAACAGGUUAAUAUUCCUGUACUUGGUGUUACUGCGAAGGGGGGACGGAGAAGGCUAUGUUGGCCGGGCGACGGUUGUCCCGGUUUAAGCGUGUAGGCUGGUUUUCCAGGCAAAUCCGGAAAAUCAAGGCUGAGGCGUGAUGACGAGGCACUACGGUGCUGAAGCAACAAAUGCCCUGCUUCCAGGAAAAGCCUCUAAGCAUCAGGUAACAUCAAAUCGUACCCCAAACCGACACAGGUGGUCAGGUAGAGAAUACCAAGGCGCUUGAGAGAACUCGGGUGAAGGAACUAGGCAAAAUGGUGCCGUAACUUCGGGAGAAGGCACGCUGAUAUGUAGGUGAAGUCCCUCGCGGAUGGAGCUGAAAUCAGUCGAAGAUACCAGCUGGCUGCAACUGUUUAUUAAAAACACAGCACUGUGCAAACACGAAAGUGGACGUAUACGGUGUGACGCCUGCCCGGUGCCGGAAGGUUAAUUGAUGGGGUUAGCGCAAGCGAAGCUCUUGAUCGAAGCCCCGGUAAACGGCGGCCGUAACUAUAACGGUCCUAAGGUAGCGAAAUUCCUUGUCGGGUAAGUUCCGACCUGCACGAAUGGCGUAAUGAUGGCCAGGCUGUCUCCACCCGAGACUCAGUGAAAUUGAACUCGCUGUGAAGAUGCAGUGUACCCGCGGCAAGACGGAAAGACCCCGUGAACCUUUACUAUAGCUUGACACUGAACAUUGAGCCUUGAUGUGUAGGAUAGGUGGGAGGCUUUGAAGUGUGGACGCCAGUCUGCAUGGAGCCGACCUUGAAAUACCACCCUUUAAUGUUUGAUGUUCUAACGUGGACCCGUGAUCCGGGUUGCGGACAGUGUCUGGUGGGUAGUUUGACUGGGGCGGUCUCCUCCUAAAGAGUAACGGAGGAGCACGAAGGUUGGCUAAUCCUGGUCGGACAUCAGGAGGUUAGUGCAAUGGCAUAAGCCAGCUUGACUGCGAGCGUGACGGCGCGAGCAGGUGCGAAAGCAGGUCAUAGUGAUCCGGUGGUUCUGAAUGGAAGGGCCAUCGCUCAACGGAUAAAAGGUACUCCGGGGAUAACAGGCUGAUACCGCCCAAGAGUUCAUAUCGACGGCGGUGUUUGGCACCUCGAUGUCGGCUCAUCACAUCCUGGGGCUGAAGUAGGUCCCAAGGGUAUGGCUGUUCGCCAUUUAAAGUGGUACGCGAGCUGGGUUUAGAACGUCGUGAGACAGUUCGGUCCCUAUCUGCCGUGGGCGCUGGAGAACUGAGGGGGGCUGCUCCUAGUACGAGAGGACCGGAGUGGACGCAUCACUGGUGUUCGGGUUGUCAUGCCAAUGGCACUGCCCGGUAGCUAAAUGCGGAAGAGAUAAGUGCUGAAAGCAUCUAAGCACGAAACUUGCCCCGAGAUGAGUUCUCCCUGACUCCUUGAGAGUCCUGAAGGAACGUUGAAGACGACGACGUUGAUAGGCCGGGUGUGUAAGCGCAGCGAUGCGUUGAGCUAACCGGUACUAAUGAACCGUGAGGCUUAACCUU